CUUCCUGCAAUAAUUGGCUCCGAGGUACCAGAGGAUGAGAAAGCUUGGGAGAUUAAAAGUGUCGCUGAAGCGUUAGUUCAAAAACAUCCUUUCCUGGAGGAGUCUGGCUCCAAAAGUGACUGUGAUGGAUGGAGAGACAGCUUGGUGUUCAAAAUGGGCAAUUUUAGAUGCAAACUCAGCAAGUCAGCGUGUCCAGAAGUGAAAGUUAACAGUGGCAAGUAAAAGUAGCCCAGAGGGCAGCUCGCCACAUUGAAAGAUAAAGCGGCCUCGACGAGCAGAAGUAAACUUUCUCCCACAGCUUCCACAAGGUGAAACUGAAGAAAGUCUGGAGAGGUUGAGGGUUUUCCUUGUGGAGGAGUUGGAGGAAACGGACCAAGACAAGAUUGACUUAUCAUUGGUCAACAGCAGCAUGUGUAGGACCUUUGCAUUGAGACGUAAAGAGAUUGUUACCUUGAGCCCCACCAUAGAGCAUAUCCAAGACAGAUGGCCGGCACUUUUCCUCGAGGAACAAGUGUGGGUGGGGGGAUGUAAAGCAGUUUUCAUUUGCCUUUGUACUUUGUUUUAGGUAUGUGCAGAGUACCAUCCCAACACAAACCAGCAACUCCGGGAUAUGUUUUAUUCCAUGUUGGACCCACUCACAGAACGCUUGCUAGCCCUAUCCAGAACGAAGCAGGGAAAGACUGGAAGAAAUGGACAGGAGACAGCUGACAAUCUGAAUUAGUACUGCCAGCAACCAUGUGAUGUGAACACCGAUCGUUGUCCUCAGAUGUCUUCCAGCAAUUUUCCAAGAGGAUGACUCUGGAGUGUUCAUAACAUACAUGGAAGGUACAUCCCAAGACCCUGCAGCCAUCAAGAGACCAGCAGCCAUCAUCUCAGUCAUUGACGACGAUGGAGAUGUAGCUGCUGUGCCAUUCCAUUCAGGAAGAGUCUACGUGGUCCUUCAAGAGAAGGUGGUUAUAAAGGAUUUCCGGUGCUGGCCUGAUGCACUUGUAUGUUUGUACGGGCUAAUGUACUCACUCCAACAUGGAUACUCUAAUUGCAUGAAGAACAUGUUUGGGUUUGUACAAGAAGUGUUGUUAUGUUUGGAUGGAGACAGAAUGAAGCCAAUGGUCCUUGGUUGGAAAAACCAAUAGUAAAAUAAAAUACCAAAAACAUUUAUGGUGCUAAACAAUUGUAAAUAGUUACGUUAUCUUACAAGGAAAAAAGAUUAGAGAUAAAAAAAACUGAAGACGACUAAAUGUUUUGUAGGCAAAUGCCAACUAAAAUGUCUACCUGCAUUUGAUUUGAUCUGUGCCUUUAGUAAAACCGGUCACAAAAAUGAGAAAGUCAUGCAAUACUAUUGGCCUUUAAUCUAUUGAGUUUUAACAUGUAUAGAGAUACAAGAGUAACUUGACUUCAGUUGGUGUAGAGUUUAAUUGAAAGUGUUACUGUUUGGGAAAACUGAACAUUGGCAUUGUGAAGUUACCUUACAAAUCAGUGAUGAAGUUGUUGGCCUCAGCCUAAAUCUUUAUAUAUAGGAAGCUUUAGAGGCAUUGGCCAUAAAUCUCACAUUGCUGAUGUCAACAUGUGAAAAAUGGCUGAGGUCCCAGAGGAUGACAAUGGAUAGAGAAUCUUCAUGGAUUUGUAAGGAGAGGUCUUUUGCAUACCUGUGUAUUGUUGUGGACCGGUACAUAUAAGAAAGUUGGGGAAACAACAUUCGCACACACUGUCUACUUGCAUUUAGAACAUUUAUUUGUCAGUUUAAUGAUUUGGCCCUAGACCUUACUGUAGUCAGGAAUGAAGGUUUAGGACCGAAACAUUGUGUGCAUAAGUACAUUUUAUAAUCUGCAAGUAUAACUUUGUUUUGUAAACGUAAUGGAGUGAAAAUUGUCAUGGAGGAAGAAAUGUAAAAUAAAUCAACAUUAAUCUUCAUCUUAAACAGUUAAAUAUAGUCAAAUUGUUAGACUGUGAAAUGGAUGUUGGCACAUCCCUACCUCUUUAAUUUGAUUUUAUAUCUUCAGCACCACUUUCAAUUGAAUGGAAGCUACCACAUCAGUUGAAAGUGUUAAUUGGAGAAGGGUCAUUGUACUGUGCUCCUGUUUUAAUAGUUAAGUUGUUGAUAGAGAAUGUUGCAAUGUUACACAGUAUUGAAUUGAUUGGAAGAUGGGGUUUUGUUAUCUGAGCCUUUUAAAAGUUAAAGUUAAAGUUAAAGCAUAUGUUCAAAUGAGUCAUGCUGUACAUAAUUGGCAUUCAUCUAUUGAUGGAGGCUAAAAUAGAUUCAUUAUGUUUUGUGCAUUCAUGUAAUUAGAGAUUUGUGGUUCUGAAGAUACAGAACAUGUAAUUUUAUUUUUUAAGAAAAAACUGCUGUAAAGCUAACUUGCUUUAGAGGAGUUGACUGAAAGAAAGAACUUAUUUGAGUUACGUAACAAAAAUAUUAAGUUACACAGGACUA
Non-coding RNA from Salmo salar (Atlantic salmon), 2431 nucleotides. The record is from RefSeq and is a predicted model, not a curated record. Lineage: Eukaryota; Metazoa; Chordata; Actinopteri; Salmoniformes; Salmonidae.